Molecule: transfer RNA, 73 nt
Filed under: Neotoma lepida (desert woodrat)
Lineage: Eukaryota; Metazoa; Chordata; Mammalia; Rodentia; Cricetidae
Rfam family: tRNA
About the family: Transfer RNA (tRNA) molecules are approximately 80 nucleotides in length.
Source: Rfam by way of RNAcentral
AGAGAGGUGGCUCAAUGGUUCAGAGCACUUGGUGCUCUUGCAGAGGACCUGGGUUCAGUUCCCAGCAUCUAUA